This 506-nucleotide ribosomal RNA is filed under the name uncultured bacterium. RNAcentral's name for it is "partial 16S ribosomal RNA". It matches the Rfam family "Bacterial small subunit ribosomal RNA", at positions 29 to 523 of the family's 1533-position model. The record is from RNAcentral.
AGUGAACGCGGGCGGUAGGCCUAACACAUGCAAGUCGAACGGCAGCACAGGAGAGCUUGCUCUCUGGGUGGCGAGUGGCGGACGGGUGAGGAAUACAUCGGAAUCUACUUUUUCGUGGGGGAUAACGUAGGGAAACUUACGCUAAUACCGCAUACGACCUACGGGUGAAAGCAGGGGAUCUUCGGACCUUGCGCGAUUGAAUGAGCCGAUGUCGGAUUAGCUAGUUGGCGGGGUAAAGGCCCACCGAGGCGACGAUCCGUAGCUGGUCUGAGAGGAUGAUCAGCCACACUGGAACUGAGACACGGUCCAGACUCCUACGGGAGGCAGCAGUGGGGAAUAUUGGACAGUGGGCGCAAGCCUGAUCCAGCCAUACCGCGUGGGUGAAGAAGGCCUUCGGGUUGUAAAGCCCUUUUGUUGGGAAAGAAAUCCAGCUGGUUAAUACCCGGUUGGGAUGACGGUACCCAAAGAAUAAGCACCGGCUAACUUCGUGCCAGCCGCCGCAGUAA